UCGUCUAUUUGCCGCAACGGCCCGCAAGGGUUUGGCUCGAGCCGGAGGAAGAACCAGGAUAGCUCUUUAGUCGUUCUGAGCCUACCACACCGAAGUCCCCUCGCUCCGCCGGCGCCAUGGCCGCCGCCGCCAUGCUUCACCUCCAGAAACAACUCCUCUCCCUCGGCCACGCCGCCUCCCCUCGCUUCUGCUAUCUCCACCGCGCCGCCUCCCCUGACCUCUUCUCUCUCCACCGCUCCCUCUUAUCGACCGCCGCCUCGCUGGGCCACAUCGCCGCCGAGGACUACCUUGUUACCACCUGCGGUCUCACGCGGGAGACUGCCCGGAAAUCCACCAAGUACAUAUCCCACUGGAAGUGCACCUCCAACGCUGACUCCGUCCUCGCCUUCCUCGCCGGCCCAGCGCUCCGCCUCUCCAAGGCCGACAUCGCCAACGUCGUAGCCUACGACCCGCGCAUCCUCAACAGCAGUGUCGAUAAAAGCUUGAAGGUGUGCAUCGCCAGCUUCCGCAGCCAUGGCUUCUCCGACGCCCAGGUCCAGACCUUUGCCCGCACGGUCCCCUACGUCUUCCGCUCCUUCAAAGUCCAGGAGAAGCUCGGAUUCUGGAUUCCCUUCCUGGGAUCGCCGGAGAUGUUCCUCCGCGUCCUCAAGCGCAAUUACUACCUCCUCACGUCGGACCUCGAGAAGGUGGUUAAGCCAAACAUCGAGCUGCUACGAGAGUGCGGGCUAAGUGUUUGCGUUAUUGCCAAGAUGUGCAUUCCCAGCUCGAGGCUGCUCACCAGCAACCCAGAAACCGUGAAGUCCAUCCUCGUGCGUGCCGAUAAGCUCGGGGUGCCACGCCAUUCGCUUAUGUUCAGGCAGGCUGUGUCCACGACGAUGGGCCUUGGUGCGGAGACGGUGGUAGCCAAGCUUAAGUUCUUCAGCGAGACGCUCGGGUGCUCUGAGGCUGAGGUGCUCAGCAUGGUGAGAAGGAACCCUGUGGUGCUGAGGUGCUCCAGGGAGAAGCUUCUGAGUGUCUCGGAGUUCCUGAUCAAGGUCGUAGGCUUUGACACCGGGUGCAUCCUUAGAAGGCCUACGCUGCUGAUGUAUAGCAUGCGCCGAUUGGUGCCCCGGUAUUACGUGAUGAAGGUGCUCCAAGAGAAAGGACUAACACGGAAAGAUCAAAAUUUCUACACAUUGGUCACUCUUGGUGAUGAGUUGUUCCGAUGCAGGUAUAUACACCCCCAUAAGGAUGUUCUUCCAGGCCUGGAUGAUGAAUACACAAAUGCUUGCAAAGGGAAACUGCCUGCUGGAGUUGUGCUGUGAAGGAUCCUGCUUGUAUGCUCCUCUGUUCUGAGUCUCCACCAACCAUCUAAAUGGCAGGAUCAUUUUGUUCUUACUGCAUUUGGAUACUCCUGAUGUGUGCUCUACAACCCAUGAUGCUGCUGCUAGCAUCGAAAUUCUGAUGAAAACUUACUGUGCUCCAUAACUCGGAAGUAUUUCAUUUCUGAUUGAACAAUGGGUUUGGAAUGAAAUUUCCUCUGGCUCUCUCUUGUUUAUAGAAAAUGGGCAUCAUGUUCUUACGGAAUGCGUACAAUGCUUCAUAGUGUGACAUAGUGGAAACCGUAACUGUAUUUCUGGACAAUUCGGGACAACAAAAGGCAGCACCCUCGCAGUCCUCUCAGAUCAUCAGCCAUGCGGGCCGUACGAUCUUGUCACAUGCGCAUCCCUGGACGUUAGAUCCGAUUGUCCCAUGGGCGCUGCUACAAAGAGAAGAAUUUUGCAUGAGUUGGGAAGAGAAGAAUUUUGCACCUAGUGCACCAAAUCAGUAGCACACACAUGUUUUUUUAUUUUGUCGUUUUUGAACAAGAAAUACAUAUAGUUGCUGACUUUUGUCUAUUUCUUGACCCUCUGUUCUGCAGAUAAUUUUUGGUCUGAGCACCUUUGGUUCUUACCAGUUAUGUUGCAUGGUCGUCAUGUAUUGGUAUGUUAAGUUGGGACGAGGUUGUAAAAUGAUCUUGCAAAGAUCUACACCUGCAUUCCCCACCUAUUUUUCUACCAGAAUGAUAACUAUUUGCAUGCUGGGCAGAUGUAUUAGCUAAUUAUCCCAUCCAGUUCCAGGAGAUUUAGAGCUGCAGGGGAUGCAAUCCCAGGAGACUGAGGAGCUGCAAACCCAUGAGCUCAGUCUAUAUAUAUGCUUCUACAUUGGAAAAUAUUCUCAGCCAUGAACUAGUGAGAAAAGCGUUCAAUCUUUUAGAUGAGGUUAAUUUGUGCUGAAGAAAUACUCAGGGCAAAUUGAAGAGGUGACCAUUCUGUUUCUUACUUGUCACAUACUAUAUAAGAGUUCAGUUGUGGAAGAAAUUUGAGGGGAGGGUUAGGAUAAAUGGAUACUGUAAUAGGCAGUUUUUUUUUUUUGAGAAUCUGUAAUAGAGUUCACUGAAGUGAUGAUAGCAGGUGGUGAUCUGGUGCUUCUAAUGGCAAGUUUCAUUGGUAAAGUGGAGCUGAUGCUAUAUUCUGAUAAGGAUGAUAUAUUUUCUUGAAUUAAGAAUAGUAACUUUGCAGGCAUUCUAUUUUUUUUAUCACUGCUCUUGGUAUUUGUUUACUGCCGGUACUGUGAGAGUGUGAGUUUCUCUUGGUUGGCGCAAUGCACUAAAUGGUCAGCCAAUUGUGAGAUGAAGUCACAAGGAGAUGGCAUGUUGUAAUGUAUGGAAUCUGUGGAGCUCACUCAGUUUUUCAUUGCUUUGGAGAAACUGUCAUGUUCUCAUGUUAUGCAGCUCAAUUCGUUGAAAUAUUGUGUUUCAUAAGAUCAACUGAAAAGCAAUUACAUAAAACUCUAUUUACUAUUGCUUUUCAAAAGAUAUAACUAAUGUGGUUCUUGCUAUAGAAUUCAUAUUUCAAAUCUGACGUGUUCAAAACUGCUGAGAUACUAAAUUGUAGCACAUAUAUGUAGGCCCAAAGGAUGUAAAGAGACGAAGGGAAAGGGAACAAGAUUUGCAAAAUCAGGAUGAGACGUUAAGUAGCAUGAAACACAGACACCUGUUGCUGUAUCCCAUGACCCUGAUGUUGAAAACUUUGGCAUCAAGAUGACAAGACCUCGUGUUUUUUGUUGCAUACCUCGUAACAUCUGGUAAAAUCGCAGCCGUCUUUAUAUGUUAUAAUUUCGAGGCCACCAAUGAGUAAACUACAGUCGUAUUUUAUCUGAUAAACUUUUCUAUUAAACCUAUCAUUCACGCCAAUUUAAAAGUGCACAAAUGUGAUGUUUACCUACCCAGUGUCUCUCUGCUAAUCAAGUCAAAGGUGUGCUGUCCAGAGGAUGUGCUGCUAGAUAGUUUGAUGGAAAACUACUGAUACUAUAUAGGAGGAGGAAUUACAUGUGGGAGACAUUAUGUCCUGGAAGGAAAAGGGAAGCUGGCACUUCGUUUUUCAUGACGACGGAAGCUGGAGAUUUUCGACAGCCUGCACUCUGUCUUUGAUACCAAAGAGAUAAAUCCCAGUUGAUUUAUGUUCGUGACCUGCAUUUUAAACCAAUAGUUCGUUUUUCAGUAUAGCACGAGCACCCGUUCGUGACCUGCAUUCAACAAUCCAAGUAUAACGAGCGUUAUGUGCUCACAAGUAUGCAUCUGCUCACAUAUACUGAUCGUUCCUUUUCUUAUUUGUCCAUAUAAUAAUUACAUUUUAAACCAAUAGUUUUAGGUUGCUCAGGUGAUAUAAAGUGCAGCUCUAAUGAUUUAA
RNA transcript from Brachypodium distachyon (stiff brome), 3710 nucleotides. It is a transcript of the gene named transcription termination factor MTERF6, chloroplastic/mitochondrial, with no coding region annotated. The transcript has 6 exons. NCBI's taxonomy places the organism in Eukaryota, Viridiplantae, Streptophyta, Magnoliopsida, Poales, Poaceae. The record is from RefSeq and is a predicted model, not a curated record.